GGGGAUUUAGCUCAGUGGUAGAGCGCUUGCCUAGCAACGCAAGGCCCUGGGUUCGGUCCCCAGCUCCG
This is a non-coding RNA of Rattus norvegicus (Norway rat), 68 nucleotides long. The record is from Rfam. NCBI's taxonomy places the organism in Eukaryota, Metazoa, Chordata, Mammalia, Rodentia, Muridae.